UACGUAGGUGGCAAGCGUUGUCCGGAUUUAUUGGGUUUAAAGGGUGCGUAGGCGGCCUUGUACGUCAGUGGUGAAGUACUCCAGCUUAACUGGAGGGGUGCCAAUGAUACUGCAGGGCUUGAGUACAGAUGAGGUAGGCGGAAUUGACGGUGUAGCGGUGAAAUGCAUAGAUAUCGUCAAGAACACCGAUAGCGAAGGCAGCUUACUGGGCUGUAACUGACGCUGAGGCACGAAAGUGUGGGGAUCAAACAGG
This 253-nucleotide ribosomal RNA is filed under the name uncultured bacterium. RNAcentral describes it as "partial 16S ribosomal RNA". It matches the Rfam family "Bacterial small subunit ribosomal RNA", at positions 524 to 776 of the family's 1533-position model. The record is from RNAcentral.